AUCCAGAUGACGAGUUCCAAAUAGGACGAAAUGAAUGUUAUUCUGGAU
This 48-nucleotide non-coding RNA is filed under the name Trichobilharzia regenti. Lineage: Eukaryota; Metazoa; Platyhelminthes; Trematoda; Strigeidida; Schistosomatidae. The record is from RNAcentral.